GCCGUAAACGAUGGGCACUAGGUGUUGGGGGGGUUAAACCCUUCGGUGCCAAAGCUCACGCAUUAAGUGUCCCGCCUGGGGAGUACGGUCACAAGGCUGAAACUCAAAGGAAUUGACGGGGACCCGCACAAACGGUGGAGCAUGUGGUUCAAUACGACGAUACGCGUGGAACCUUACCCAGACUUGACAUGUACCAGAAAGCCCUAUGAAAGUAGGGCCCCCUCGCAAGAGGUUGGUACACAGGUGUUGCAUGGCUGCCGUCAGCUCGUGUCGUGAGACGUU
Molecule: ribosomal RNA, 282 nt
Filed under: uncultured bacterium
Lineage: Bacteria
Description: partial 16S ribosomal RNA
Rfam family: Bacterial small subunit ribosomal RNA
Source: RNAcentral